GCCAUGCUAGUUGUACGAGCUUAGACUCGUUGCGGAAAGCUCAGUAACACGUGGACAAACUACCCUACGGAGAGCCAUAACCUCGGGAAACUGAGGCUAAUAGUUCAUAGGGGAGUCGCGCUGGAAGUGCCGACUCUCUCAAACGCUCCGGCGCCGUAGGAUGUGUCUGCGGCCGAUUAGGUAGACGGUGGGGUAACGGCCCACCGUGCCGAUAAUCGGUACGGGUUGUGAGAGCAAGAGCCCGGAGACGGAAUCUGAGACAAGAUUCCGGGCCCUACGGGGCGCAGCAGGCGCGAAACCUUUACACUGUACGCAAGUGCGAUAAGGGGACCCCAAGUGCGAGGGCAUAUAGUCCUCGCUUUUCCCGACUGUAAGGCGGUCGGGGAAUAAGAGCUGGGCAAGACCGGUGCCAGCCGCCGCGGUAAUACCGGCAGCUCAAGUGAUGACCGAUAUUAUUGGGCCUAAAGCGUCCGUAGCCGGCCACGAAGGUCUAUCGGGAAAUCCGCCAGCUUAACUGGCGGGCGUCCGGUAGAAACCACGUGGCUUGGGACCGGAAGGCUCGAGGGGUACGUCCGGGGUAGGAGUGAAAUCCUGUAAUCCUGGACGGACCACCGAUGGCGAAAGCACCUCGAGAAGACGGAUCCGACGGUGAGGGACGAAAGCUAGGGUCUCGAACCGGAUUAGAUACCCGGGUAGUCCUAGCUGUAAACGAUGCUCGCUAGGUGUGGCACAGGCUACGAGCCUGUGCUGUGCCGUAGGGAAGCCGAGAAGCGAGCCGCCUGGGAAGUACGUCCGCAAGGAUGAAACUUAA
This 811-nucleotide ribosomal RNA is filed under the name uncultured euryarchaeote. RNAcentral describes it as "bacterial SSU rRNA". It matches the Rfam family "Archaeal small subunit ribosomal RNA", at positions 48 to 859 of the family's 1478-position model. The record is from RNAcentral. Lineage: Archaea; Methanobacteriati; Methanobacteriota.